UACGGGGGGGGCAAGCGUUGUUCGGAUUUAUUGGGUUUAAAGGGUGCGUAGGCGGCUUUGUAAGUCAGUGGUGAAAUAUGGCAGCUUAACUGUCAGGGUGCCAUUGAUACUGCAGAGCUUGAGUACAGAUGAGGUAGGCGGAAUUGACGGUGUAGCGGUGAAAUGCUUAGAUAUCGUCAAGAACACCUAUAGCGAAGGCAGCUUACUAGGCUGUAACUGACGCUGAGGCACGAAAGUGUGGGGAUCAAACAGG
Molecule: ribosomal RNA, 253 nt
Filed under: uncultured bacterium
Lineage: Bacteria
Description: partial 16S ribosomal RNA
Rfam family: Bacterial small subunit ribosomal RNA
Source: RNAcentral